UGGGGAAUAUUGCACAAUGGGCGCAAGCCUGAUGCAGCCAUGCCGCGUGUAUGAAGAAGGCCUUCGGGUUGUAAAGUACUUUCAGUCGGGAGGAAGGUGGUAAGGUUAAUAACCUUAUCAAUUGACGUUACCGACAGAAGAAGCACCGGCUAACUCCGUGCCAGCAGCCGCGGUAAUACGGAGGGUGCAAGCGUUCAUCGGAAUUACUGGGCGUAAAGCGCACGCAGGCGGGUGAUUGAGUCAGAUGUGAAAUACCCGGGCUUAACCCGGGAAGUGCAUCUGAGACUGGGCAGCUAGAGUCUUGUAGAGGGGGGUAGAAUUACAUGUGUAGCGGUGAAAUGCGUAGAGAUCUGGAGGAAGACCGGUGGCGAAGGCGGCCCCCUGGACAAAGACUGACGCUCGGGUGGGAAAGCGUGGGGGGCAAACAGG
This 429-nucleotide ribosomal RNA is filed under the name Chloroflexota bacterium. Its description in RNAcentral is "Chloroflexi bacterium partial 16S ribosomal RNA". It matches the Rfam family "Bacterial small subunit ribosomal RNA", at positions 355 to 776 of the family's 1533-position model. Lineage: Bacteria; Bacillati; Chloroflexota. The record is from RNAcentral.